This 435-nucleotide ribosomal RNA is filed under the name uncultured bacterium. RNAcentral's name for it is "bacterial SSU rRNA". It matches the Rfam family "Bacterial small subunit ribosomal RNA", at positions 340 to 786 of the family's 1533-position model. The record is from RNAcentral.
UACGGGAGGCAGCAGUGGGGAAUAUUGGACAAUGGGCGAAAGCCUGAUCCAGCCAUGCCGCAUGAGUGAAGAAGGCCUUCGGGUUGUAAAGCUCUUUUAGUGAGAAAGAUAAUGACGGUACUCACAGAAGAAGUCCUGGCUAACUCCGUGCCAGCAGCCGCGGUAAUACGGAGAGGGCUAGCGUUAUUCGGAAUUAUUGGGCGUAAAGAGCGCGUAGGCUGAUUAGUAAGUUAAAAGUGAAAUCCCAAAGCUUAACUUUGGAAUUGCUUUUUAAAACUGCUAGUCUAGAGAUUUGAAAGAGGAUAGAGGAAUUCCUAGUGUAGAGGUGAAAUUCGUAAAUAUUAGGAGGAACACCAGUGGCGAAGGCGUCUAUCUGGUUCAAAUCUGACGCUGAGGCGCGAAGGGCGUGGGGAGCGAAACAGGGAUUUAGAUACC